CAAUAGCGUAUAUUAAAGUUGUUGCAGUUAAAAAGCUCGUAGUUGGACCUUGGACCUGGACAGGCGGUCCGCCUCACGGCGUGUACUGUCUUGCUGGGUCUUUCCUCUUGGCGAUCUGUUGUUUCGGCAGCAGGGAACCAGGACUUUUACUUUGAAAAAAUUAGAGUGUUCAAAGCAGGCUCGACGCCGGAAUAUAUUAGCAUGGAAUAAUAAAAUAGGACGUGCGGUUCUAUUUUGUUGGUUUUUGGAAUCGCCGUAAUGAUUAAUAGGGACAGUCGGGGGCAUUAGUACUCACAUGCUAGAGGUGAAAUUCUUGGAUUUUGUGAAGACUAACUUCUGCGAAAGCAUUUGCCAAGGAUGUUUUCAUUAA
RNAcentral lists this ribosomal RNA (370 nucleotides) under uncultured eukaryote. RNAcentral describes it as "partial 18S ribosomal RNA". It matches the Rfam family "Eukaryotic small subunit ribosomal RNA", at positions 592 to 976 of the family's 1831-position model. The record is from RNAcentral.